GGAGGGAUAGCUCAGUGGUUUGAGCAUUGGCCUGCUAAACCCAGGGUUGUGAGUUCAAUCCUUGCGCCAUUUA
This is a transfer RNA of Pelodiscus sinensis (Chinese soft-shelled turtle), 73 nucleotides long. It matches the Rfam family "tRNA". Rfam says of the family: Transfer RNA (tRNA) molecules are approximately 80 nucleotides in length. Their secondary structure includes four short double-helical elements and three loops (D, anti-codon, and T loops). NCBI's taxonomy places the organism in Eukaryota, Metazoa, Chordata, Testudines, Trionychidae. The record is from Rfam.